Molecule: long non-coding RNA, 944 nt
Organism: Amphiprion ocellaris (clown anemonefish)
Lineage: Eukaryota; Metazoa; Chordata; Actinopteri; Pomacentridae
Source: Ensembl
GAAACAGUAACAUUUGCAUUCAUCACAGUUGUGCAACACCUGCAUCUGUACCUUGGCUGUUAAGACAAAAUAAACUUCAUUGUUCCCUCACUGGGGAAAUUUACAUGUUACAGCAGCUAAAUGCAAACACAGAAUGGGGAAAGCAAGUCAAAAAAUACAAAACUGCAAUAAAGAUAUAAGGUUAUGUUUACAUUUUGCAUACAGAUGAGGCGUAAUGAAUUUACAGACUCGUAAAGGUAUGCAGGUCAUGAACAGGUGAGGUAAGGGUUAACCAAAGCAUUUCAUAAACUGAAGUCAGAAACAAACACAAAGAAGCUCAAAAAACUAAACGGGUCAUUCCAGAAUUGGAGGGCAUUUUACGUCCCACCCAUGAAAUUUCAAAUAGACCAUGAACAAAUUACUAAAAUAUGCAGUUGUUGUGUAAAUUGACUUGUCCUGAGACCAAAUCUAAAAAAAACUAGGAGAAAAUAAUGUUUGAAAAUAUUUUUUAAAAUACCAAAUAGGUCUAGAGUUCCCCUAAAAUGCCAUUUCUCUCUUGUCCCACCCCCUGAUGACCAGAUUGAAUCUCAGAUAAAACUAUUAAAAUUAAAUUUAAAUCUCCUUUUUGUUACAGCUUGGCUCAUAGCCUGCAACAAAGCAGGGAGACAAACGCAGUGUGGUGUCUAAAAGUUAGUUUAUUGUAGCCAACCAAUCCAAAAAGUGCACAACAAACCACAACUGAAAAGCCCAGAAGCACACGGCUGAAGCUCCACAGGCUGAAGCUCCACAGGCUGAAGCUCCACAGGUAGCAGAUCCACAGGCAGAGAGCUGCUGUAGAAGUGGAGAAGGUUGAACCCAGGUGUGGCUCAUCAGCUGACAACCAUCAGCUCCAGAAAGACAGGCACACCUGUCCAGGUGGAGGGUCGUCACACCUUUUAUUUGAUUUUUUUUCAUUGAUGUCUCUU